Molecule: transfer RNA, 71 nt
Filed under: Paramuricea clavata
Lineage: Eukaryota; Metazoa; Cnidaria; Anthozoa; Malacalcyonacea; Plexauridae
Description: tRNA-Asp
Source: RNAcentral
UCCUCGGUAGUAUAGUCGUGAGUAUCCCCGCCUGUCACGCGGGGACCGCGUUUCGAUUCCCCGCUGGGGAG